Molecule: ribosomal RNA, 485 nt
Filed under: uncultured bacterium
Lineage: Bacteria
Description: partial 16S ribosomal RNA
Rfam family: Bacterial small subunit ribosomal RNA
Source: RNAcentral
GACGAACGCUGGCGGCGUGCUUAACACAUGCAAGUCGAACGAUGAAGCCGGAGCUUGCUCUGGUGAAUUAGUGGCGAACGGGUGAGUAACACGUGAGUAACCUGCCCUUGACUCUGGGAUAACUGCGGGGAAACUGUAGCUAAUACCGGAUACGACCCUCGGAGGCAUCUCCUGGGGGUGGAAAGAAUUUCGGUCAAGGAUGGACUCGCGGCCUAUCAGCUAGUUGGUGAGGGAAAGGCUCACCAAGGCGACGACGGGUAGCCGGCCUGAGAGGGUGACAGGCCACACUGGGACUGAGCCACGGCCCAGACUCCUACGGGAGGCAGCAGUGGGAAAUAUUGCACAAUGGGCGCAAGCCUGAUGCAGCAACGCCGCGUGAGGGAUGACGGCCUUCGGGUUGUAAACCUCUUUUAGCAGGGAAGAAGCGAAAGUGACGGUACCUGCAGAAAAAGCACCGGCUAACUACGUGCCAGCCGCCGCCGUAA